Cucumis sativus (cucumber) is the source of this 126-nucleotide non-coding RNA. The record is from Rfam. Lineage: Eukaryota; Viridiplantae; Streptophyta; Magnoliopsida; Cucurbitales; Cucurbitaceae.
GAAACGCACCAGGGGUGCCUCGACCAAGUGUAGCUGCUCGAUCGGCAGUUAACUGGUCAGGCUGAGAUAGUCCCUUUGAACCUGAACAGGAUAAUGCCUGCGUAGGGAGCGUGCUUUUCUGUUUUU